UCUGCAAAAAUAGAAGGUCUAGCCUGCCCAGUGACCAAGUUAAACGGCCGCGGUACCCUAACCGUGCGAAGGUAGCGCAAUCACUUGUUCUUUAAAUGAGGACUAGUAUGAACGGCAUCACGAGGGUUACACUGUCUCCCACCUCUAAUCAGUGAAACUGAUCCCCCCGUGAAGAAGCGGGGAUAAACUUAUAAGACGAGAAGACCCCAUGGAGCUUUAAACUCAGUACCAAUCACCUAUAACCAUACCACAAUAACCCGGUGAUCCUGAUUACUAGUUUUAGGUUGGGGUGACCACGGAGCAUAAUUAAACCUCCAUGUUGAAAAACUUCCUCUAAUCCAAGAGUGACAACUCUAAGAAUCAAAAACCGACAUACAUUGACCCAAAUAUUUUGAUCAACGAAC
RNAcentral lists this ribosomal RNA (404 nucleotides) under Elachistocleis surinamensis group sp. ABGD cluster 15. RNAcentral's name for it is "partial large subunit ribosomal RNA". It matches the Rfam family "Bacterial large subunit ribosomal RNA", at positions 1836 to 2457 of the family's 2925-position model. Lineage: Eukaryota; Metazoa; Chordata; Amphibia; Anura; Microhylidae. The record is from RNAcentral.